ACAGCAGUCGCCGCGGUAAUACGGAGGGUGCAAGCGUUAAUCGGAAUUACUGGGCGUAAAGCGCACGCAGGCGGUCUGUCAAGUCAGAUGUGAAAUCCCCGGGCUUAACCUGGGAACUGCAUUUGAAACUGGCAGGCUAGAGUCUUGUAGAGGGGGGUAGAAUUCCAGGUGUAGCGGUGAAAUGCGUAGAGAUCUGGAGGAAUACCGGUGGCGAAGGCGGCCCCCUGGACAAAGACUGACGCUCAGGUGCGAAAGCGUGGGGAGCAAACAGGAUUAGAUACCCCGGUAGUCCCUGUCUCUUAUAA
This 305-nucleotide ribosomal RNA is filed under the name uncultured bacterium. RNAcentral describes it as "partial 16S ribosomal RNA". It matches the Rfam family "Bacterial small subunit ribosomal RNA", at positions 508 to 809 of the family's 1533-position model. The record is from RNAcentral.